GGGAGCUGUAGGAGGUUAUGAGACGCCAUGAGGAUCAUUAUAUUUGUCAGAGAGUGUCGUGCUGGCAAUUUUUACGGACGUUUUUCAUUCUGGUGAAAUCUUAAUGUGCAGGCAACAAUGCAGGUGGGUUCGCCUUCUUAAGUACAGUACCGGGUGUAUUCCUGUAUUUUUCGCCGCCAUUGUGGUGGUGGAUUCGUCACGUUUCUUUCGCCUUUUUUUUAUCGUCGGCUCUGUUAGCGACUUGGUGUGUGUGGCCACUUCCGAGGGUGUUUAUACAAUUUUUGGAAACUUUCUGUCUGAUGUUCACAACGCCUUGCAAAUAUUCGAGCUGAUUUCUAUGGAAUAGAUUUUCAAGAUGUUAAUGGAUCCUAGAUUUAUAAGUAAGAGUUGUGUAAUUGUUUCCUACAUGGCAUUUCCAGGGCUGUUAUACUAUUGGAUGAGAAUGGGCAUUUGAGUUUCAGAUAAAGCAUGCUUCAUGGGCUGGUGGUGGACUUUGAAUGGUUUUCUCAGAUUUGUCUUCAUUCCCACACCUAGACUCAUUUCCUCAAUCAAACCCUGUACAAUGGAUUUCUUGGUCUAGUAAGUAACCGAAGGUGUUUGUGAGCAAAUAUAUUGUUGCGCCUGCGACAAAUGGAAUGAAAAGGAUGAAGGAAGGAAAAGAUGAAGAAUGGAGGUAGUAACAAGUGUUAAUAACCGAUUUAAAUUUACUGUUUUUUAUUAUAAAUUAAUUAAAAAAUUUUUAACUAUAAAAUUUUGUUAAUUCGAAUAAGUCGAUACGAUUGUAUAAUUAUUAUUGGAUAAUAAUUGUAUAAUUCAUAAACUACAACUUCAGGAAAGUUACUA
Daphnia carinata is the source of this 843-nucleotide long non-coding RNA. RefSeq lists it as uncharacterized. The transcript is spliced from 6 exons. The record is from RefSeq and is a predicted model, not a curated record. Lineage: Eukaryota; Metazoa; Arthropoda; Branchiopoda; Diplostraca; Daphniidae.